Molecule: ribosomal RNA, 937 nt
Filed under: Fomitopsis quercina
Lineage: Eukaryota; Fungi; Basidiomycota; Agaricomycetes; Polyporales; Fomitopsidaceae
Description: LSU rRNA
Rfam family: Eukaryotic large subunit ribosomal RNA
Source: RNAcentral
AGCAUAUCAAUAAGCGGAGGAAAAGAAACUAACAAGGAUUCCCCUAGUAACUGCGAGUGAAGCGGGAAAAGCUCAAAUUUAAAAUCUGGCGGUCUUUGGCCGUCCGAGUUGUAGUCUGGAGAAGUGUUUUCCGUGCUGGACCGUGUACAAGUCUCUUGGAACAGAGCGUCAUAGAGGGUGAGAAUCCCGUCUUUGACACGGACUACCAGUGCUUUGUGAUGCGCUCUCAAAGAGUCGAGUUGUUUGGGAAUGCAGCUCAAAAUGGGUGGUAAAUUCCAUCUAAAGCUAAAUAUUGGCGAGAGACCGAUAGCGAACAAGUACCGUGAGGGAAAGAUGAAAAGCACUUUGGAAAGAGAGUUAAACAGUACGUGAAAUUGCUGAAAGGGAAACGCUUGAAGUCAGUCGCGUUGAUCAGAACUCAGCCUUGCUUUUGCUUGGUGCAUUUUCUGGUUGACGGGCCAGCAUCGAUUUUGACCAUCGGAAAAAGGCCAGGGGAAUGUGGCACCUUCGGGUGUGUUAUAGCCCUUGGUCACAUACGGUGGUUGGGAUCGAGGACCGCAGCACGCCUUUAUGGCCGGGGUUCGCCCACGUUCGUGCUUAGGAUGCUGGCGUAAUGGCUUUAAACGACCCGUCUUGAAACACGGACCAAGGAGUCUAACAUGCCUGCGAGUGUUUGGGUGGAAAACCCGAGCGCGUAAUGAAAGUGAAAGUUGAGAUCCCUGUCGUGGGGAGCAUCGACGCCCGGACCUGAACUUCGGUGAUGGCUCUGCGGUAGAGCAUGUAUGUUGGGACCCGAAAGAUGGUGAACUAUGCCUGAAUAGGGUGAAGCCAGAGGAAACUCUGGUGGAGGCUCGUAGCGAUUCUGACGUGCAAAUCGAUCGUCAAAUUUGGGUAUAGGGGCGAAAGACUAAUCGAACCAUCUAGUAGCUGGUUCCUG